GAUGAACGCUGGCGGCGUGCUUAACACAUGCAAGUCGAACGGAAAGGCCCAAGCUUGCUUGGGUACUCGAGUGGCGAACGGGUGUGUAACACGUGGGUGAUCUGCCCUGCACUUCGGGAUAAGCCUGGGAAACUGGGUCUAAUACCGGAUAGGACCACAUUUUGGAUGGUGUGGUGGAAAGUUUUUCGGUGUUGGAUGAGCUCGCGGCCUAUCAGCUUGUUGGUGGGGUAAUGGCCUACCAAGGCGCCGACGGGUAGCCGCCCUGAGAGGGGGUACGGGGACAUUGGGACUGAGAGACGCAGCAGAAUCUUACGGGAGGCAGAGGUGGGGAAAAUAGCGCACUGGGGGCGAGCCUGUGAUAGCGACGCCCCGUGGGGAAUAACGGGCUUUGAGGUGUGAACACCUUUCGCUAGAGAGAAGGAGCAAGUGACGGUACCUGGGGAAGAAGCCCCGGCUAACUACGUG
RNAcentral lists this ribosomal RNA (465 nucleotides) under uncultured bacterium. Its description in RNAcentral is "partial 16S ribosomal RNA". It matches the Rfam family "Bacterial small subunit ribosomal RNA", at positions 28 to 507 of the family's 1533-position model. The record is from RNAcentral.